GAUGAACGCUAGCUACAGGCUUAACACAUGCAAGUCGAGGGGAAACAACAUCGAAAGCUUGCUUUUGAUGGGCGUCGACCGGCGCACGGGUGAGUAACGCGUAUCCAACCUGCCCACCACUUGGGGAUAACCUUGCGAAAGUAAGACUAAUACCCAAUGACGUCUCUAGAAGACAUCUGAAAGAGAUUAAAGAUUUAUCGGUGAUGGAUGGGGAUGCGUCUGAUUAGCUUGUUGGCGGGGUAACGGCCCACCAAGGCGACGAUCAGUAGGGGUUCUGAGAGGAAGGUCCCCCACAUUGGAACUGAGAAACGGUCCAAACUCCUACGGGAGGCAGCAGUGAGGAAUAUUGGUCAAUGGGCGAGAGCCUGAACCAGCCUAGUAGCGUGCAGGAAGACGGCCCUAUGGGUUGUAAACUGCUUUUAUAAGGGAAUAAAGUGGGAGUCGUGACUCCUUUUGCAUGUACCUUAUGAAUAAGGACCGGCUAAUUCCGUGCCAGCCGCCGCUGUAA
RNAcentral lists this ribosomal RNA (508 nucleotides) under uncultured bacterium. RNAcentral describes it as "partial 16S ribosomal RNA". It matches the Rfam family "Bacterial small subunit ribosomal RNA", at positions 28 to 523 of the family's 1533-position model. The record is from RNAcentral.